RNAcentral lists this ribosomal RNA (576 nucleotides) under Acremonium sclerotigenum. RNAcentral's name for it is "LSU rRNA". It matches the Rfam family "Eukaryotic large subunit ribosomal RNA", at positions 56 to 658 of the family's 3401-position model. The record is from RNAcentral. Lineage: Eukaryota; Fungi; Ascomycota; Sordariomycetes; Hypocreales; Bionectriaceae.
GAAAAGAAACCAACAGGGAUUGCCCUAGUAACGGCGAGUGAAGCGGCAACAGCUCAAAUUUGAAAUCUGGCCUCACGGUCCGAAUUGUAAUUUGUAGAGGAUGUUUCUGGCGACGUGUCUUCCGAGUUCCCUGGAACGGGACGCCAUAGAGGGUGAGAGCCCCGUCCGGUCGUACACCUAGCCUCUGUGAAACUCCUUCGACGAGUCGAGUAGUUUGGGAAUGCUGCUCUAAAUGGGAGGUAUACGUCUUCUAAAGCUAAAUACCGGCCAGAGACCGAUAGCGCACAAGUAGAGUGAUCGAAAGAUGAAAAGCACUUUGAAAAGAGGGUUAAAUAGUACGUGAAAUUGCUGAAAGGGAAGCGCUUAUGACCAGACUUGGGCUCGGUGAAUCAUCCGGCGUUCUCGCCGGUGCACUUUGCCGUCCCAGGCCAGCAUCAGUUCGCGCCGGGGGAUAAAGGUUUCGGGAAUGUAGCUCCCUCGGGAGUGUUAUAGCCCGUUGCGUAAUACCCUGGCGUGGACUGAGGUCCGCGCUCUGCAAGGAUGCUGGCGUAAUGGUCAUCAGUGACCCGUCUUGAA